GGUGGACCCUUGGAUAGUUUGGAGGACAUGAAACUAGGGCUGGAAAAAAUUCCCAAAAAUCCCAAACCAAACUGAAAAAAUCCCAAACCGAAACCGAAAUUAUCCCGAACUUUUGUAAUCCCAUGACAAAAAAUACCAAAAUAUUCGAUAUGAGAUUAGUUUUUCAGAUUUCAUUUUUCGGUAAUCCCGAAAUCCCGAAAUCUUCUUUUCCUUUUGCUUUUGGUUCGUACUUCCCACGCUACCAAAGAACAAAGUGUGCAAAAAAGCAAACUGCAAUAUCAAUUAUAUAUUACUAAAAUAAUCAAAGUGUGCAGAAAAGCACAUGACUGUUGUGUGCUGUCCAAAUUACAAUCAAGAAAACUGCAAACAUAGCCUAUUAUAUAAUAUUAAAAUGAGGAAAGUUUGCAGAAAGAUGUCUAAAGACUCAGACUCUUUAGACAAAAUGUCUCUCCCAUCACUGCCUUCGCCAAAGUCUCCAUCUCUGCCUUCGCCAAAAUCUCAGACUCUUUCUGUCUCUCCUCUUGAAUUUGAAUACCCACCCAUCCUCUCACAAUCAGACUCUGACCAACUUUCUGCACUCCACCACCACCACUCCUCACUGCUUCAUCCCCAACUCUGAUCCUCUCCAGCGAUUCUCUAUAUGUGUGGGGUUUCAAAUCAAGGUUCGGUUUCGAGAAAUCCUGAAAUACUGAAAAUAUUUCAGGAAUACCGAAAUUUUGGUUUAGGAUCAGUCCUCAGAUUUCCAUCUCGAAAAUAGUCGGUUUGGGACUUGAUAUGCCGUUUUCGGUGCGGUGUCCCAUACUGAACCAGCCUUACAUGAAACAGACUUGGGUGCCCAAAUCAUCGGAACAAGGACUGGACAGGUUUGAGUGAAGGAAUGCCCAAGGAUGCCAAAUUAAAUGAGGACUUGCCCAAAGCCCAACAUCGAGCCUAGAGACAAACUAAAGCCCUCUCAGUCAAGGCAUAAGCCAUGUGCGUAUGACUGAAGUGACAAUUGACAGAGACCAGCUCACUACCAGCCAAAAAGCACUUUAUAAUGGCAUAAAGGUGUAAAUACAUGAUGACUCACUACCCCUGAGAGCCCUCGACCAAGAACAAAGCUUUAACAAUCAGGCCAAAUCACCUAUAAAAGGAAGAAGAGACAACAGAUAUAAGGACACUCAAACAACCAAACAAACAACAUACAAACUCUGCUUUCAAGCCAGAUUUGCAUCCAUAAAAGCUGAAACCAACCUAGAUUUAGUCUUUUUAGUCCUAGUCUCUUUAGAAAAGCUAUCUUUUGUCUAGUUUAAAAGCUCUGCUACCUUCCCUAGUGUUGUAUUAUCGAUUCCCUCAUGUAAAACCUAUUUUCCAUCCAUCCUUUUUAGCAUACAACCCCUGUAAACUCAAAGAGAAGUGGCUGCAAGAUGCUCAACCUUGCCCGACAAGGUGAAAUCUUGCCUGAGUCUCUUUGUUUGUCCUUUAAUUUAGCAGAUCUAUUGUUUAAAUGUACUUUUCAGCAUGUAUUCAAGUUAUCACUAGUUAUUUCCUACUUAAGAGUCUUAUUUGCACCUAGAUCUAGUUAACUUAAUAAACCCGUUUUCAUUAAGAAUAAUCUGAAAUGGAGGAAAUGGUUUAAAGGGAUCUGGACUCCCUUCAUUUGAACAUACAAAAUCAUAAACUAAAAGUCCUUGUUUACAAGGCAAGAAAAAAGAAUUUAAUGCAAACUUAACUCAUCUGU
Molecule: non-coding RNA, 1720 nt
Organism: Malus domestica (apple)
Lineage: Eukaryota; Viridiplantae; Streptophyta; Magnoliopsida; Rosales; Rosaceae
Source: RefSeq, a predicted model, not a curated record